CAAUAGCGUAUAUUAAAGCUGUUGCGGUUAAAAAGCUCGUAGUUGGAUUUCUGUCAAGUACAACUGGUCCGCCCUCCGGGUGAGCACAUAGUUUGGUCUUGGCAUCUUGCUGGGAAUUGUUGCUGCACUUGGCUGUGUGGCGCAGUGCCCAGCACUUUCACUUUGAGGAAAUUGGAGUGUUUCAAGCAGGCAAUGCCUUUGAACACAGUAGCAUGGAAUAAUUAGAUUGGGCUUUUGCUCCAAUUUGUCGGUUUCUGGAGCUGAGGUGAGAAUUAAUGGGGAUUGUUGGGGGCAUCCGAAUUUAGCCGUCAGAGGUGAAAUUCUUGGAUCGGCUAAAGACGGACAACUGCGAAAGCAUUUGCCAAGGAUGUUUUCAUUGA
This 380-nucleotide ribosomal RNA is filed under the name uncultured eukaryote. RNAcentral describes it as "partial 18S ribosomal RNA". It matches the Rfam family "Eukaryotic small subunit ribosomal RNA", at positions 592 to 976 of the family's 1831-position model. The record is from RNAcentral.